GGCAGGCUUAACACAUGCAAGUCGAGGGGUAACAUUUUGUGCUUGCACAAAGAUGACGACCGGCGCACGGGUGCGUAACGCGUAUAGAACCUACCUUUAACUGGAGGAUAGCCCAGAGAAAUUUGGAUUAAUACUCCAUGGUAUCGAUUAAUGGCAUCAUUGAUUGAUUAAAGAUUUAUUGGUUAGAGAUGGCUAUGCGUUCUAUUAGCUGGUUGGUAUGGUAACGGCAUACCAAGGCAACGAUAGAUAGGGGUCCUGAGAGGGAGAUCCCCCACACUGGUACUGAGACACGGACCAGACUCCUACGGGAGGCAGCAGUGAGGAAUAUUGGACAAUGGAGGCAACUCUGAUCCAGCCAUGCCGCGUGCAGGAAGACUGCCCUAUGGGUUGUAAACUGCUUUUAUAGAGGAAGAAACCCCGGUAUGUAUACCGGUUUGACGGUACUCUACGAAUAAGGAUCGGCUAACUCCGUGCCAGCAGCCGCGGUAAUACGGAGGAUCCAAGCGUUAUCCGGAAUCAUUGGGUUUAAAGGGUCCGUAGGCGGGCUUAUAAGUCAGUGGUGAAAGUUUGCGGCUCAACCGUAAAAUUGCCAUUGAUACUGUAGGUCUUGAAUUAUUGUGAAGUGGUUAGAAUGUGUAGUGUAGCGGUGAAAUGCAUAGAUAUUACACAGAAUACCGAUUGCGAAGGCAGAUCACUAACAAUUAAUUGACGCUAAGGGACGAAAGCGUGGGUAGCGAACAGGAUUAGAUACCCUGGUAGUCCACGCCGUAAACGAUGGUUACUAGCUGUUCGGACUUCGGUUUGAGUGGCUAAGCGAAAGUGAUAAGUAACCCACCUGGGGGAGUACGUUCGCAAGAAUGAAACUCAAAGGAAUUGACGGGGGCCCGCACAAGCGGUGGAGCAUGUGGUUUAAUUCGAUGAUACGCGAGGAACCUUACCAGGGCUUAAAUGUAGUCUGACAGGGCUGGAGACAGCUUUUUCUUCGGACAGAUUACAAGGUGCUGCAUGGUUGUCGUCAGCUCGUGCCGUGAGGUGUCAGGUUAAGUCCUAUAACGAGCGCAACCCCUGUUGUUAGUUGCCAGCGAGUAGUGUCGGGAACUCUAGCAAGACUGCCGGUGCAAACCGCGAGGAAGGUGGGGAUGACGUCAAAUCAUCACGGCCCUUACGUCCUGGGCCACACACGUGCUACAAUGGUAGGUACAGAGAGCAGCCACUGGGUGACCAGGAGCGAAUCUAUAAAGCCUAUCACAGUUCGGAUCGGAGUCUGCAACUCGACUCCGUGAAGCUGGAAUCGCUAGUAAUCGGAUAUCAGCCAUGAUCCGGUGAAUACGUUCCCGGGCCUUGUACACACCGCCCGUCAAGCCAUGGAAGCUGGGGGUACCUGAAGUCCGUCACCGUUAAGGAGCGGCCUAGGGUAAAACUGGUAACUGGGGCUAAGUCGUAACAAGGUAACCGUAA
This 1458-nucleotide ribosomal RNA is filed under the name Aquimarina celericrescens. Its description in RNAcentral is "bacterial SSU rRNA". It matches the Rfam family "Bacterial small subunit ribosomal RNA". Lineage: Bacteria; Pseudomonadati; Bacteroidota; Flavobacteriia; Flavobacteriales; Flavobacteriaceae. The record is from RNAcentral.